Molecule: transfer RNA, 69 nt
Filed under: Chaetodontoplus poliourus (greytail angelfish)
Lineage: Eukaryota; Metazoa; Chordata; Actinopteri; Pomacanthidae
Description: tRNA-Met
Rfam family: tRNA
About the family: Transfer RNA (tRNA) molecules are approximately 80 nucleotides in length. Their secondary structure includes four short double-helical elements and three loops (D, anti-codon, and T loops). Further hydrogen bonds mediate the characteristic L-shaped molecular structure. tRNAs have two regions of fundamental functional importance: the anti-codon, which is responsible for specific mRNA codon recognition, and the 3' end, to which the tRNAs corresponding amino acid is attached (by aminoacyl-tRNA synthetases). tRNAs cope with the degeneracy of the genetic code in two manners: having more than one tRNA (with a specific anti-codon) for a particular amino acid; and 'wobble' base-pairing, i.e. permitting non-standard base-pairing at the 3rd anti-codon position.
Source: RNAcentral
AGCAGCAUCAGCUAAUAAAGCUUUCGGGCCCAUACCCCGAACAUGUUGGUUAAAAUCCUUCUCCUGCUA